AGUAACGGCGAGGGAAGCGGGAAGAGCUCAAAUUUAAAAUAUGGCGUGCCUUUGGUCGUCCGAGUUGGAGUCUGGAGAAGCGUCUUCCGUGUUGGACCGUGGACAAGUCUCCUGGAAUGGAGCGUCAUAGAGGGUGAGAAUCCCGUCUUUGACACGGACUGCCAGGGCUUUUGUGAUGUGCUCUCAAA
This 188-nucleotide ribosomal RNA is filed under the name Thelephoraceae sp. RNAcentral's name for it is "partial large subunit ribosomal RNA". It matches the Rfam family "Eukaryotic large subunit ribosomal RNA", at positions 82 to 261 of the family's 3401-position model. The record is from RNAcentral. Lineage: Eukaryota; Fungi; Basidiomycota; Agaricomycetes; Thelephorales; Thelephoraceae.